Molecule: long non-coding RNA, 323 nt
Filed under: Struthio camelus australis
Lineage: Eukaryota; Metazoa; Chordata; Aves; Struthioniformes; Struthionidae
Description: lncRNA (ENSSCUG00000017987.1)
Source: RNAcentral
AACCGCUCAGCCAUCUCCUGCUAUCUGAUUUCUGUCCUAGCAUACAAGUCGUGAAGUGGUAAAAGGAUAGGUCAGUUCAACACAAUGAAAUGUGAGACAGGAAGAGAAAAGAAGCUUGAAGGAAUGUGAUAGCAACAAGGACUCUGCAGAGGACUGUCAGUGCACUUCAGUGGUGCGCAGAGACAGCUAGCAAGGACUAGACUUGGUUCAGAAGAGUAUGGCCUCACGUUAGAUGAAGGCAGAAUCAUGGGAUGGCUCUGUCUCUACCUCAUACAGGUGAGUGGAGGAAGAGUAGAUUUUGAUACAGUGAUGUUUCCUGUGUG